CCUAAUACAUGCAAGUCGAGCGGACAGAUGGGAGCUUGCUCCCUGAUGUUAGCGGCGGACGGGUGAGUAACACGUGGGUAACCUGCCUGUAAGACUGGGAUAACUCCGGGAAACCGGGGCUAAUACCGGAUGGUUGUCUGAACCGCAUGGUUCAGACAUAAAAGGUGGCUUCGGCUACCACUUACAGAUGGACCCGCGGCGCAUUAGCUAGUUGGUGAGGUAACGGCUCACCAAGGCGACGAUGCGUAGCCGACCUGAGAGGGUGAUCGGCCACACUGGGACUGAGACACGGCCCAGACUCCUACGGGAGGCAGCAGUAGGGAAUCUUCCGCAAUGGACGAAAGUCUGACGGAGCAACGCCGCGUGAGUGAUGAAGGUUUUCGGAUCGUAAAGCUCUGUUGUUAGGGAAGAACAAGUGCCGUUCAAAUAGGGCGGCACCUUGACGGUACCUAACCAGAAAGCCACGGCUAACUACGUGCCAGCAGCCGCGGUAAUACGUAGGUGGCAAGCGUUGUCCGGAAUUAUUGGGCGUAAAGGGCUCGCAGGCGGUUUCUUAAGUCUGAUGUGAAAGCCCCCGGCUCAACCGGGGAGGGUCAUUGGAAACUGGGGAACUUGAGUGCAGAAGAGGAGAGUGGAAUUCCACGUGUAGCGGUGAAAUGCGUAGAGAUGUGGAGGAACACCAGUGGCGAAGGCGACUCUCUGGUCUGUAACUGACGCUGAGGAGCGAAAGCGUGGGGAGCGAAC
RNAcentral lists this ribosomal RNA (744 nucleotides) under Methylobacterium sp. BGMRC02059. RNAcentral describes it as "bacterial SSU rRNA". It matches the Rfam family "Bacterial small subunit ribosomal RNA", at positions 47 to 773 of the family's 1533-position model. Lineage: Bacteria; Pseudomonadati; Pseudomonadota; Alphaproteobacteria; Hyphomicrobiales; Methylobacteriaceae. The record is from RNAcentral.